GGUCUAUUUGUGGCACCAAUGGGCUUUUUUUGGCAGCAGUGGGGAAUAUGUGCACAAUGGGCGCAAGCCUGAUGCAGGGCCCCCGCGUGGGGGAUGACGGCCUUCGGGUUGUAAACCUCUUUCACCUUUGACGAAGGGCGAGUGACGGUACAUGCAGAAGAAGCCCCGGCCAAUUACGUGCCAGCAGCCGCGGUAAUACGUAGGGUGCGAGCGUUGUCCGGAAUUACUGGGCGUAAAGAGCUCGUAGGUGGUUUGUCCCGUUUUUAUUGAAAACUCACUGGUUAACUGUGGGAGUGCGGGCGAUACGGGCAGACUGGAGUACUGCAGGGGAGGCGGGAAUACCUGGUGUUGCGGUGGAAUGCGCAGAUAUCAGGAGGAACACCGGUGGCGAAGGCGGGUCUCUGGGCAGUAACUGACGCUGAGGAGCGAAAGCCAGGAAAGCAAAAAGGAUGAGAAACCCCCGAAGACCACCCCGCAAACGGC
RNAcentral lists this ribosomal RNA (483 nucleotides) under uncultured Mycobacterium sp. RNAcentral describes it as "bacterial SSU rRNA". It matches the Rfam family "Bacterial small subunit ribosomal RNA", at positions 86 to 810 of the family's 1533-position model. Lineage: Bacteria; Bacillati; Actinomycetota; Actinomycetes; Mycobacteriales; Mycobacteriaceae. The record is from RNAcentral.